AUGACACUAACCCUGUGUUCCCAGACCUUGGGCAUAGCACAGCCCCUGAUAACACAGAGGAGACAAAAAUGCUCCUCCUCGCUCUCCAGAUGAUGCUGGGAAGGGCAGUCCACCAGUUUGGUGCAGCAGGGAGCAAGGUGGAGGCGUUGUAGAUUGCCACGGUGCCAAGGCCCUGAGGAGAGACCCAAGGCCCCUCAAAAUGGCGCCUCGCCCCUCAGGUUUCCCGCCAACGGCCAUUCCCCAGUGAGCUGUCCCCUCAGGCAGCUUGUGGCACUGACUGCAAGUGCGCCCCUGCUCAGAGAGGUAUGUGCGGCCGAGGAGCAGCAUGCUGAGGGCGGUUAGACCCAUCCCUGGGCAGCAUCCAUGAAAUGCAGCAGUGACAGCAUGAGCUUUAAGGUUGAGAAGAAGCACGUGAGGAGAUGUUCUCCCUGUCAGGUGCUGCUGGGCUCUUGAUGUGGUCACAGCUGUCUGAGGAGAGCAGAACAAGCUGACAGGGAGCCGUGUCGUUGCAAUCAGGUGUUGCCCAAAAUUAAUUGAUCUGCAGGGUGAGAUGGUAGCUGUGCUGCUCCUCAAAUGCAGCCUCUGGCAGCUGAGUCUCCUUGGCUUGGUGCCUUGCAUGUCUACCACAGCACAGAAGAUUCAAGAUGAAGGCUAUGCUAACAGUAGCUGCAAAGGCUGCCAGGCUGGGCAGGUGUCCUCCUUCCUCUGUUUGGUGUUACUAUGCGGCUGAGGGUAAGUGUAUGCUCUAGAAGGAAGUUGGCCUGCUGUAGUAGACAGGUACACAAAGCAUCCAUGGUCUGCACCGCAACAAAAAUCAGCCCUCAGGUAGUUGCUGCCUGACAUGUUUAAGAGGGCAAUUUUCCCUUUGUUGAGAAUUACAUUGUGCACAUACCAAGGGGAGAACGUUCCCCUAAUUAGUUAGAGAAUACAGGCAACGAGUCUUUGUGUCAGAAAGGGCUUCUCUGCUUGUCCCUUAC
This 977-nucleotide long non-coding RNA is filed under the name Gallus gallus (chicken). Its description in RNAcentral is "long non-coding RNA NONGGAT008472". Lineage: Eukaryota; Metazoa; Chordata; Aves; Galliformes; Phasianidae. The record is from RNAcentral.